Oncorhynchus tshawytscha (Chinook salmon) is the source of this 521-nucleotide long non-coding RNA. Lineage: Eukaryota; Metazoa; Chordata; Actinopteri; Salmoniformes; Salmonidae. The record is from Ensembl.
CAGGAGAACUACCAGGAGGACUACCAGGUGAACUACCUGGUGGACUACCAGGUGGACUACCAGGAGAACUACCAGGAGGACUACCAGGUGAACUACCUGGUGGACUACCAGGUGGACUACCAGGAGAACUACCAGGAGAACUACCAGGUGGACUAUCAGGAGAACUACUAGGUGGACUACCAGGAGAACUACCAGGAGGACUACCAGGUGGACUACCAGGAGAACUACCAGGAUAACUACCAGGUGGACUACCAGGAGAACUACCAGGUGUACUACCAGGUGGACUAUAAGGUGGACUACCAGGAGAACUAUCAGGUGGACUACCAGGUGGACUACCAGGAGAACUACCAGGGGAACUACCAGGUGGACUACCAGGAGAACUACCAGGUGGACUACCAGAAGAACUACCAGGUGGACUACCAGGAGAACCACCAGGAGAACUACCAGGUGGACUAUCAGGAGAACUACCAGAGCAUCAUUCACAAUCCUCCCAGCCUCUUCACUCGCCAUCCACUCUGGCC